GGAAGGAUCAUUCCUAACGAAAAGCAUUGGCUUUUUAAACCAGUUGAACUCAAAGCAAGCAAUUGCUUCGUAUCACUUUUUAACCAAGGAUUAUCAACAAAUAGACUGAUGAUAUUGUCAUUCAAUUGACAAGACUAAAAACAACAGCUAUUGGCAACGGAUACCUCGGUUCUCACAACGAUGAAGAACGCAGCGAAACGCGAUAUUUAAUGCGAAUUGCAGAAUUCAGUGAAUCAUCGAAACUUUGAACGCAUGUUGCGCCUUUGGGAUAUUCCUAGGGGCAUGCCUCUUUCAGUGUCGGUAUUUCUAUCUAGUCUUCUAUGAUUAGUAAAUUGAGAGUUGAGUUUGCUCAUCUUUUUAAAAUUUAUGUGAUGUCUGGUACUUGAAUGGUACUCGUGCAAACUAACUGAAGAUGAUUCUUUACAGUUUCUUCCAAAACUAUUUGCUAUGUAUUGCUACUGAACCAACAAAAGACAACACAAUUCGUUUGACCAACCUCAAACAAUACCUAUCUUCAAGACCUGAGUGAGGUAAGACUACCCGCUGAACUUAAGCAUAUUAAUAAGCGGAGGAAAAGAAACUAAAUAGGAUUCCCCUAGUAACGGCGAGUGAAAAGGGAAAAGCCCAACCUGAGAAUCCGACAGUCUACUGCCGGAAUUGUAGGUUACGGAAACAGCAUCAGCGAUAGUCCUGGUUUAAGUGUGUUGGAAAACACCGGCAUAGAGGGUGAUACCCCCGUAUAGAGCUGGGAAUCUAACGCGUACGAUGUGUUUUCCAAGAGUAGGUUUGCUUGAAAGUGCAAACUGAAUUGGGAGGUAAAUUCCUUCUAAGGCUAAAUAUUUGUGAGAGACCGAUAGCGCACAAGUACCGUGAGGGAAAGGUGAAAAGGACUUUGAAAAGAGAGUCAAAAGUACUUGAAAUUGUCAGUAGAUAAGCGAUAGACACUAGUGCAUGGUUAUGCCAUAUCUCUUGUUUGUAAAGGUAUGCUAGUAAGUACAGGUGGUUUACCAGUGUGCUUGCGUGCGGAAUUUAUGAGCAAGUCCUGUGAGUGUGACUUGUGUCACUCUUGAUUGCGGGCGUAGGAAAUGUCUUGAACUGGGUAGCAACACUCGUGUUGUGAUGAGUUCUAGUUUGUACUACGACUGCGAUGACUAGUGACGAAAUAGUUUUUAUCGACCCGUCUUGAAACACGGACCAAGGAGUCUAACAUAUAGGCGAGUCAAUGGGUGUAAAACCCUACGGCGCAAUGAAAGUGAAUGAGUACUUGUACUCUGAGGUGUGCUACCUGUAUAUGGUUUCAACACCGCCCGGCAGAUCCAUUAGUGUUCUGUUCGAGGUAGAGCCUACAUGUUAGGACCCGAAAGAUGGUGAACUAUGCCUGAGCAGGGUGAAGCCAGGGGAAACUCUGGUGGAAGCUCGCAGCGAUACUGACGUGCAAAUCGUUCGUCGGACUUGGGUAUAGGGGCGAAAGACUAAUCGAACCGUCUAGUAGCUGGUUCCCUC
Molecule: unclassified non-coding RNA, 1503 nt
Filed under: uncultured fungus
Lineage: Eukaryota; Fungi
Description: sequence contains 18S rRNA gene, ITS1, 5.8S rRNA gene, ITS2, 28S rRNA gene
Rfam family: Eukaryotic large subunit ribosomal RNA (bases 517-1503)
Source: RNAcentral